Molecule: ribosomal RNA, 164 nt
Filed under: Pleosporales sp.
Lineage: Eukaryota; Fungi; Ascomycota; Dothideomycetes; Pleosporales
Description: partial large subunit ribosomal RNA
Rfam family: Eukaryotic large subunit ribosomal RNA
Source: RNAcentral
CGGUAACAGCUCAAAUUUAAAAUCCGGCCUUCACGGGCCCGAGUUGUAAUUUGUAGAGGAUGUUUCGGACAAGGCUGUGGUCUAAGUUCCUUGGAACAGGACGUCACAGAGGGUGAGAAUCCCGUACGUGGUCGCAGGCCUUCUCGAGGUAAAGCCCCUUCGAC